This 483-nucleotide ribosomal RNA is filed under the name uncultured bacterium. RNAcentral's name for it is "partial 16S ribosomal RNA". It matches the Rfam family "Bacterial small subunit ribosomal RNA", at positions 30 to 507 of the family's 1533-position model. The record is from RNAcentral.
UUGAACGCUGGCGGCAGGCCUAACACAUGCAAGUCGAGCGGAUGAAGGGAGCUUGCUCCUGGAUUCAGCGGCGGACGGGUGAGUAAUGCCUAGGAAUCUGCCUGGUAGUGGGGGAUAACGUCCGGAAACGGGCGCUAAUACCGCAUACGUCCUGAGGGAGAAAUUGGGGGAUCUUCGGACCUCACGCUAUCAGAUGAGCCUAGGUCGGAUUAGCUAGUUGGUGGGGUAAAGGCCUACCAAGGCGACGAUCCGUAACUGGUCUGAGAGGAUGAUCAGUCACACUGGAACUGAGACACGGUCCAGACUCCUACGGGAGGCAGCAGUGGGGAAUAUUGGACAAUGGGCGAAAGCCUGAUCCAGCCAUGCCGCGUGUGUGAAGAAGGUCUUCGGAUUGUAAAGCACUUUAAGUUGGGAGGAAGGGCAGUAAGUUAAUACCUUGCUGUUUUGACGUUACCAACAGAAUAAGCACCGGCUAACUUCGUG